CUUCUACCCUCCCACCCGCCCCGUUUCCCCUUCCACCAAGCCCGGGGCAGCAAGCCCGAGCCGUCGGUGAUGCUCCCCGACCCUUCCCCGCACUGCCCCCGCGGCCGGGCGGCAGGGCCGCGGCAGAGCUACUCACUGUCUUCUUCUCCUUGCCCGUGGCUUGGGGUCAUACGGGGCCGAUCCGACUCCUGGAGCUCCAAAUCCAGACCCCAGCAGAAACUUCCUACUGCCCUCCGUCCACUCCUUCGCCCUCCCCUUAUAUACCGACGCUGCCGCUGGGAGAGCUCCCAUCCCUCCCUCCAUCCCUCCUGCUCCCCCCUCCCUGGCACUCCUCCACCGCCGCUUCCACGCUCGCAGGAGCCACGUUGGUUGGAAAAAAAAAGCAGCAGCAAAGGGAAGGGAAAGGGAAAAAAAAAGCUCCUGGAGGAUCAUCCACAACCACUCUGCAAUUUGGGAGGUGUAAUUACUGCCAGCCAAGCAGCCACACUCACCAGGGCUGCCAGGCCUUGGGAGGGGGCCACUGGCAGCCGCUGGGGAGAGAGAGCAAUGUGGCACCCAGGUUGGCCCCCCCAGUUUUUGAAGGGUGGGGUCUGGAAAGGGCUGGAAGGUAGGA
Pogoniulus pusillus (Red-fronted tinkerbird) is the source of this 613-nucleotide long non-coding RNA. RefSeq lists it as uncharacterized. The record is from RefSeq and is a predicted model, not a curated record. Lineage: Eukaryota; Metazoa; Chordata; Aves; Piciformes; Lybiidae. The transcript has 3 exons.